This 395-nucleotide ribosomal RNA is filed under the name uncultured bacterium. RNAcentral describes it as "bacterial SSU rRNA". It matches the Rfam family "Bacterial small subunit ribosomal RNA", at positions 521 to 896 of the family's 1533-position model. The record is from RNAcentral.
UAAUACAGAGGGCGCGAGCGUUGUCCGGAAUCACUGGGCGUAAAGGGCGCGUAGGUGGCCUGCAUAAGGCCGCGGUGAAAGUCUGGGGCUCAACCCCAGAUCGGCCGCGGCGACUGUGCGGCUCGGGUACCGUAGAGGCAGAUGGAAUUCCGGGUGUAGCGGUGGAAUGCGUAGAGAUCCGGAAGAACACCAGUGGCGAAGGCGGUCUGCUGGGCGGUGGGAUCGAAAGGUCUCUUUAACCGACACUGAGGCGCGACAGCGUGGGGAGCAAACAGGAUUAGAUACCCUGGUAGUCCACGCUGUAAACGAUGAGUGCUGGACGUUGGUGGGCUUGCCUGCCGGUGUCGCAGCUAACGCGUUAAGCACUCCGCCUGGGGAGUACGGCCGCAAGGUUG